GUUAGUGAGAUGGUUUUGGUGGAGUGAGGAGCGCAGUGAGCAGAGGAGUUGAUGGGAGAUAAACAAAGAUGGCAAGGGUAGAACUAAAUGAAAUUUUGUUUUCAAUAGGAGAAGGGAAAUAGGAUGACAUGAGAGGCAGAUGAGACCUAAUGCCCUAGACAGCCAGAAGUUCCUUUGAAAAACUCCUAUUUUGAAAGAGGUUCCAAGGGCAUUCUGGAUGAAUGAAUGAUGCAGGCAUUCUGGCAGCAGUAAGAAGAACGUGAUGAAACAGGUAAAUGCUAAGAGUCAGGGAGAUCAGUAGGAAUUUGUGGUUCAAAUCUAGGCAAGAGGUGAUGUUGAUCUGGAUUACGUUGGAACAGUGGGUGUGCAGAAGCUGUCUAAAUUAAUCAAACUGUGGUUAGUAAUAAACCUUUAGUGCCUUACGAAUUUAUCUCAAUGUAAAUUCAAAAUUUUCUUUUUUCUAGGUAAAAUCAAAGUUGAUUAUUUGGAUUCAUUCUACGAUAAAGGAAAACUUACGGAAUACGAUGCUCUUUUGGGUGUUCCAGUUAUACACCAUCGUAUCCAUCCUGUAAAAUCAACUAGGUGUAGAAAAAUUUCUGUGUCCCAGAGAGAAGGAAAUAUGAAGACUGGUGUCAAGAAAGAGAAAUGGGAGAGAGUUGAAUGCAUCCCUGCCGAGUUCUAUAGAAGGAGAUCUGGUCAUUUUCUAGACCAGUUACAGGUUGGAAAUCUGGGAAGUUCUUAUCAUCACCUGGGAUCAUUUAAGCUGUAGUUACCUGAAGGCUCCAUCGUGGCUGGAGGGUCCAGGUUGUCUUCACUCAGAUGUGUAGCAGUUGUUCCUGGAUGUCGGCUGAGACUCCUCAGUUUUCCAGAUGAUUUCUCAUUUUCUGGUUAGUUGGUCUGCACUUCUUCAUAACACUGAGAUGGAAGGAUUAGAAUAGGUUGAGUGUGGGAGCUGCAAAAAUAGGGGUUAUCCUUGUUCAGUGAUAGGAGAGUGUUACUCAGAGGAGAAUUUUUAUCUUAUCUGAAAUAUUUAAAUGUUAUAAUGUUAAGUCAUGAUUUACCUGUAUAAUUAAAAUGAUAUAUAAAUAUAUUAUAGACAAUGUUGUACCCCUGACCAAAAUUUGUGGAUUGAAACCUAAUCUCCAAUGGUAUUGUGAAAGUGGGGCCUUUGGGAUCUGAUCAAGUCAUGAGGAGGGAGCCCUUAUAAAUGGGAUUAGUGUCUUUCUAAAAUAGACCCCGGCCAAAGAACUAAAUAGACAUU
This 1261-nucleotide long non-coding RNA is filed under the name Bos indicus x Bos taurus (hybrid cattle). RNAcentral's name for it is "lncRNA (ENSBIXG00000026905.1)". Lineage: Eukaryota; Metazoa; Chordata; Mammalia; Artiodactyla; Bovidae. The record is from RNAcentral.